UGUUAAAAAUUUCAUCAAUUUCUAUUAAAAUUGGUGUGGUUAACAAAAUAACAUGUGAUGUGCCAUGUGUACUUUAUAUUGAUGUACAUGGACUAGUUUUUAACAGAGAAAAUGGAUAGAAUUUUUAACA
Gossypium hirsutum (cotton) is the source of this 130-nucleotide non-coding RNA. NCBI's taxonomy places the organism in Eukaryota, Viridiplantae, Streptophyta, Magnoliopsida, Malvales, Malvaceae. The record is from Rfam.